AGGAUGAUCAGCCACACUGGGACUGAGACACGGCCCAGACUCCUACGGGAGGCAGCAGUGGGGAAUAUUGGACAAUGGGGGGAACCCUGAUCCAGCAAUGCCGCGUGAGUGAUGAAGGCCUUAGGGUUGUAAAGCUCUUUUACCCGAGAUGAUAAUGACAGUAUCGGGAGAAUAAGCUCCGGCUAACUCCGUGC
RNAcentral lists this ribosomal RNA (194 nucleotides) under uncultured bacterium. RNAcentral describes it as "partial 16S ribosomal RNA". It matches the Rfam family "Bacterial small subunit ribosomal RNA", at positions 297 to 508 of the family's 1533-position model. The record is from RNAcentral.